This 523-nucleotide ribosomal RNA is filed under the name uncultured Glomeraceae. RNAcentral describes it as "SSU rRNA". It matches the Rfam family "Eukaryotic small subunit ribosomal RNA", at positions 569 to 1092 of the family's 1831-position model. Lineage: Eukaryota; Fungi; Glomeromycota; Glomeromycetes; Glomerales; Glomeraceae. The record is from RNAcentral.
AGCAGCCGCGGUAAUUCCAGCUCCAAUAGCGUAUAUUAAAGUUGUUGCAGUUAAAAAGCUCGUAGUUGAAUUUCGAGACCGGCUUACUGGUCGUGCUAUUGUGCGUACUGGUAUAAUCGGUUUCUCCUUUCUGACGAACUAUAAUGCCAUUAAUUUGGUGUUAUAGGGAAUCAGGACUGUUACUUUGAAAAAAUUAGAGUGUUUUUAAAGCAGGCUCACGCUUGAAUACAUUAGCAUGGAAUAACGGAAUAGGACGUUUGAUUCUAUUUUGUUGGUUUCUAGGAUCGACGUAAUGAUUAAUAGGGAUAGUUGGGGGCAUUAGUAUUCAAUUGUCAGAGGUGAAAUUCUUGGAUUUAUUGAAGACUAACUACUGCGAAAGCAUUUGCCAAGGAUGUUUUCAUUAAUCAAGAACGAAAGUUAGGGGAUCGAAGACGAUCAGAUACCGUCGUAGUCUUAACCAUAAACUAUGCCGACUAGGGAUCGGAUGAUGUUAAUUUUUUAAUGACUCAUUCGGCGCCUUACG